UGAGGAAUUUUGCGCAAUGGGAGCAAUCCUGACGCAGCAACGCCGCGUGGGUGAAGAAGGCCUUCGGGUCGUAAAGCCCUGUCAGGUGGGAAGAAGGGUCCUAUCGGGAAAGGGGUGGGACUUGACGGUACCACCAGAGGAAGCACCGGCUAACUCCGUGCCAGCAGCCGCGGUAAUACGGAGGGUGCGAGCGUUAUUCGGAAUUACUGGGCGUAAAGCGCGUGUAGGCGGGGGAGCAAGUCUGAUGUGAAAGCCCCGGGCUUAACCCGGGAAGUGCAUUGGAAACUGUUUUUCUUGAGUACUGGAGAGGAAGGGGGAAUUGCCGGUGUAGAGGUGAAAUUCGUAGAGAUCGGGAGGAAUACCAGUGGCGGAGGCGACCUUCUGGACGGUUACUGACGCUGAGACGCGAAAGCGUGGGGAGCAAACAG
RNAcentral lists this ribosomal RNA (428 nucleotides) under uncultured bacterium. RNAcentral's name for it is "bacterial SSU rRNA". It matches the Rfam family "Bacterial small subunit ribosomal RNA", at positions 355 to 775 of the family's 1533-position model. The record is from RNAcentral.